This is a non-coding RNA of Camelina sativa (false flax), 1513 nucleotides long. NCBI's taxonomy places the organism in Eukaryota, Viridiplantae, Streptophyta, Magnoliopsida, Brassicales, Brassicaceae. The record is from RefSeq and is a predicted model, not a curated record.
GAGAAGGAUGCUGAUUUUUGUUCUUCGCGCAUCAAAAAAAAAAGAAGGUGAAGACGAGAAAGACCACGAUAGUAUUAGUAGGAGCGAUAGUGAUUUUGAUUUUGGCAUAAACAGCGAGUGGACUUAGUAUAGUUACGUGUCGGAAAUUGAACCAGAGUGGGAUUUCAAGAGUAAGAUUUAAAACAUACAGUUCCCACUUGCAACAAUAGAUGAUAAAAUCAGUCUCAUAAAUCGUCAAUGACUCAACCUCAAAAAUAUGUUUGAUUCAUGUCCCGAUAAUUUCUUUAUUCUUUUCCAAUCUGAAUCGAUUUGUGUAAGAUACUCUUCUGGUGGGUUCUCUGGUUUUUAAUGUGUUUUUUCUCUUGGGUUCGUGACAGAUAAGAAAUCCAAUUGAACAAUGGGAUUCUCACAGAGAACAAACAUAUUUUUGCCAUGUAAGUUAAUCGAUUUUCCCAUUCCUAUAUUGAUUUGAGACUGCACUCUAAUACUCUGAAAUAGCAACAGCAUUUGGAUUUGAUGUGACAAGUUAUAAGGGAAACAGAGAAGAUUCAUAAUUCUCUCACAAGUCUUGGUGAUUUUUUCAUUGGCCUUGAGUGAUUAAGACUAUCGGAUCCAUUGGAAAGUCAAAUACGGAGAGGCAAUGAAGAAGGAUGCUACAGCAGCUGUCAAUGUCCGCUAUUUUAAAGAUGAGACAAGACAACGCCUACAAAACUUUGCGGUGUAUGUGUUCUUGGUAGAGAAAGAUAUCCUUCUGUUGAGUUGUAUUGAGAUUACCAGUUACUCAAAAGAAUUGGAUGAAAUUAAGCACAUGACCAAGCAAGAGUUCAUUGCCUCCUCAGAAUUAACUAGAGGUCAAAAACCAAUAUAAUACAUGAAGAGUAGCGGUAUCUCUAAAAGAGCUUCUAUAUAUAUCGAUGUGUGACAAGGUAUCAUCAACAAGAACCUUGGCAAGCAAGGAUUGGCCGUGUUGCCGAGAAUAAAGAUCUUUACCUUGAAAUCUUUGUAUCGAGAUCAGGAAAGCAUACUAGAUGUUUCAAAAGCAAAUCGAGGCUUCAGGUUCUAGACUUAUAAUCCUUUGGGUCAAAUAAUACGAGACGUACCAGCAUAUGAUGAUGUCAAUGGUAGGGUGGAGUCUGAAGGAGAAGACAAGCUUAGAUUGAAGUUCACAAAGAGGCCAAAGCUAAGAAACCUUAUAGGAAAAACAGUGAUGUAGAACUAGAACUUGAUUAUGUUGUAAAUGAGUGUGAGAGGGAGGUAUUGUGGGGUUGAUGUUGUUAAACACACACACAAAAAAAUUUAAGCAAAAGAUAUUGAUAACAAGGACGACGAACAUGUGGGGAGAGUAGCCACAAACAGGUAUAGAGUGGAUAUGUGGGGAGAGUAGCCACAAACAGGUAUAGAGUGGAUAAGAGAGGUGAAAAGUAUUAUGAGAGUGUAUUGUGCUAAGGAUUUUAUAUUACAAAAAUUGUAUAUAAUGAGAAGAAAGAUGAGAGUAAAGUAGAAGUUCUCACCA